CAGCUUCUGUAGCACUAAAGUGCUUAUAGUGCAGGUAGUGUGUCGUCAUCUACUGCAUUACGAGCACUUACAGUACUGCCAGCUG
RNAcentral lists this microRNA precursor (85 nucleotides) under Rattus norvegicus (Norway rat). Its description in RNAcentral is "microRNA rno-mir-20a precursor". Its record names the gene rno-mir-20a. It matches the Rfam family "mir-17 microRNA precursor family". Rfam says of the family: This family represents the microRNA (miRNA) precursor mir-17, family, which includes mir-20, mir-91, and mir-103. miRNAs are transcribed as ~70nt precursors (modelled here) and subsequently processed by the Dicer enzyme to give a ~22nt product. Lineage: Eukaryota; Metazoa; Chordata; Mammalia; Rodentia; Muridae. The record is from miRBase by way of RNAcentral.